This 881-nucleotide ribosomal RNA is filed under the name uncultured bacterium. Its description in RNAcentral is "bacterial SSU rRNA". It matches the Rfam family "Bacterial small subunit ribosomal RNA", at positions 40 to 892 of the family's 1533-position model. The record is from RNAcentral.
CGGCGUGGAUAAGACAUGCAAGUCGAACGAUGAUUGCGAGGUAGCAAUAUUUCGCAGUUAGAGUGGCGUAAGGGUGCGUAACACGUGGAUAAUUUGCCGUAAAGUUGGGGAUAACUCCGAGAAAUCGGAACUAAUACCGAAUGUGGUGGCUGGAGGGCAUCCUCUGGCUCCUAAAGUUGGGGACCGCAAGGCCUGAUGCUUUACGAUAAGUCCGCGGCCUAUCAUGGUAGUUGGCGGGGUAACGGCCCACCAAGCCUAAGACGGGUAGCUGGUCUGAGAGGACGACCAGCCACACUGGAACUGAGACACGGUCCAGACACCUACGGGUAGCAGCAGUCGAGAAUUUUUCACAAUGGGCGAAAGCCUGAUGGAGCGACGCCGCGUGGGGGAUGAAUGGCUUCGGCCCGUAAACCCCUGUCAUUCGGGAUCAAUGCAAUCGGCCUAACACGCUGGUUGUUGAUAGUACCGGAAGAGGAAGGGACGGCUAACUCUGUGCCAGCAGCCGCGGUAAUACAGAGGUCCCAAGCGUUGUUCGGAUUCACUGGGCGUAAAGGGUGCGUAGGCGGUCGCAUAAGUCUGAUGUGAAAGCUCGGAGCUUAACUCCGAAAUGGCAUUGGAUACUAUGCGGCUAGAGGUUGGGAGGGGGGACUGGAAUUCUCGGUGUAGCAGUGAAAUGCGUAGAUAUCGAGAGGAACACCAGUGGCGAAGGCGAGUCCCUGGACCAAUCCUGACGCUGAGGCACGAAAGCCAGGGGAGCAAACGGGAUUAGAUACCCCGGUAGUCCUGGCCCUAAACGGUGCAUGUUUGCUGUGAGAGGAAUCGACCCCUUUCGUGGCGGAGCUAACGCGUUAAACAUGCCGCCUGGGGAGUACGGUCGCAAG